GCCCCUAAGGCAGCCGGGAGGGCCGCGGGCGUUUCACUAUGGCGACGGCGGGGGCUCCGCGGCGCUUCUGCCGCUGCGCCUGUUUCUGCACCGAGAACUUGUACGUGGCGCGCUAUGGGUUGCACGUGCGCUUUCGGGGCGAGCAGCAGCUGCGCCGGGACUACGGCCCGAUCCUGCGCAGCCGAGGCUGUGUCAGCACCGAGGACUUCCAGCAGCUGUUAGCAGAGCUUGAGCAGGAGGUGGAUCGGCGGCGGCGGCUGGGGCUGGAGUCAGCCGCUAGGAAAGCCCUCAUUGCAAGUUCCUACCGCCUGGCACGGCCUGAGGUGUACGACUCACUGCAGGAUGCAGCUCUGGCUCCUGAGUUUCUGGCUGUGGCUGAGUAUAGCGCAUCCGCAGGCGCAGACCUCAAGGGCCUUCUCCAGCGGCUGGAGACAGUAUCUGAGGAGAAGCGCAUCUACCGGGUGCCAGUGUUCACGGCGCCCUUCUGCCAGGCUCUGCUGGAGGAGCUGGAGCACUUCGAGCAGUCUGACAUGCCCAAGGGGAGGCCCAACACCAUGAAUACCUACGGGGUGCUGCUGCACGAGCUCGGGCUGGACGAGCCACUGGUGACCCCACUGCGGGAGCGCUUCCUGCAGCCGCUGAUGGCCCUGCUGUACCCUGACUGUGGCGGGGGCCAGCUCGACAGCCACCGGGCUUUUGUGGUCAAAUACGCACUGGGCCAGGAUCUCGAGCUGGGCUGCCACUAUGAUAAUGCCGAGCUCACCCUCAAUGUGGCCCUGGGCAAGGUCUUCACGGGGGGCGCCCUGUAUUUCGGGGGCCUCUUCCAGGUACCCACAGCCCUGACGGAACCCCUGGAGGUGGAGCACGUGGUAGGCCAGGGCAUCCUGCACCGGGGCGGCCAGCUUCACGGGGCCCGGCCCUUGGCCACUGGUGAGCGCUGGAACCUCGUCAUCUGGCUCCGCGCCUCUGCUGUGCGCAACCGCCUCUGUCCCAUGUGCUGCCGUGAGCCUGAUCUGGUGGACGACGAGGGCUUCGGCGAUGGCUUCACCCGAGAGGAGCCUGCCACAGUGGAUGUGUGUGCACUCACCUGAGCCUACUUGGACCCAGUGUGGGGGUGGCAGGGCAGCAGAGGCAUCACCCCCAGUGGACUCGGGUGGACCACCAGUAGCAUCUUCUAGAUGGCAGAGGAGUGAAUGGCAGGGCCGGGAACCAGGCUGCCCAGGGCACCGGGGACGCGAGUGCUGCGGGUGCGCGCCGAGAGGACAGCCUUGGAAGCGG
Non-coding RNA from Saimiri boliviensis boliviensis (Bolivian squirrel monkey), 1278 nucleotides. Lineage: Eukaryota; Metazoa; Chordata; Mammalia; Primates; Cebidae. The record is from RefSeq and is a predicted model, not a curated record.